This 507-nucleotide ribosomal RNA is filed under the name Triatoma infestans. RNAcentral's name for it is "partial 16S ribosomal RNA". It matches the Rfam family "Bacterial large subunit ribosomal RNA", at positions 1829 to 2597 of the family's 2925-position model. The record is from RNAcentral. Lineage: Eukaryota; Metazoa; Arthropoda; Insecta; Hemiptera; Reduviidae.
GUCCUUUUGUUUAUUUAUUUAAGGUCUGACCUGCCCAAUGAGGAAUUGAAUGGCCGCAGUAUUUUAACUGUGCUAAGGUAGCAUAAUCAUUUGUCUYUUAAUUGAGGGCUGGAAUGAAGGGUUGGACGAGGUAUUAACUUUCUUUGAUUUAAUGAGGAGAAUUUAAUUUUUGAGUUAAAAAGCUUAAAUUUAUUUGUGGGACGAGAAGACCCUAUAGAUCUUUAUAGUUUUAUAUUUUAAUAAUUUGGUGAUUUAUUUGUUUUAAGUAGAUGAACUAUUUUGUUGGGGUGACUGUAGAAUUUAAAUAACUUCUAUUAUUUUAUUUCAUUAAUUAAUGUUUUUGUGAUCCAUAUUUUAUGAUUAUAAGAUUAAGUUACCUUAGGGAUAACAGCGUAAUUUUCUCGGAGAGUUCAUAUUGAUGAGGGAGUUUGCGACCUCGAUGUUGGAUUAAAAUAAGUUAUGGAUGCAGGAGUCUAUUUACUAGGUCUGUUCGACCUUUAAAUUUUU